GGGCAGGUGACUGAGUUUGGUUAAAGGUGCCUCUCUUGAAAAGAGGCAAUGCUCAACGCAUUCCUGGGUUCAAAUCCCAGUCUGCCCG
Molecule: transfer RNA, 88 nt
Filed under: Gigaspora margarita
Lineage: Eukaryota; Fungi; Glomeromycota; Glomeromycetes; Diversisporales; Gigasporaceae
Also listed under: 1 other name
Description: tRNA-Ser
Rfam family: tRNA
About the family: Transfer RNA (tRNA) molecules are approximately 80 nucleotides in length. Their secondary structure includes four short double-helical elements and three loops (D, anti-codon, and T loops). Further hydrogen bonds mediate the characteristic L-shaped molecular structure. tRNAs have two regions of fundamental functional importance: the anti-codon, which is responsible for specific mRNA codon recognition, and the 3' end, to which the tRNAs corresponding amino acid is attached (by aminoacyl-tRNA synthetases). tRNAs cope with the degeneracy of the genetic code in two manners: having more than one tRNA (with a specific anti-codon) for a particular amino acid; and 'wobble' base-pairing, i.e. permitting non-standard base-pairing at the 3rd anti-codon position.
Source: RNAcentral